This is a long non-coding RNA of Dendroctonus ponderosae (mountain pine beetle), 456 nucleotides long. RefSeq lists it as uncharacterized. The transcript has 2 exons. The record is from RefSeq and is a predicted model, not a curated record. NCBI's taxonomy places the organism in Eukaryota, Metazoa, Arthropoda, Insecta, Coleoptera, Curculionidae.
UUUACUGAAAUACCAUGAAUUUCGAUCCGCCAUUCCAAACCAGGUAAGUCUCACUGGAAAUCGCCCUCGUGAGAACUGGUCCAUAACCAAGAAUGCCCCCGAAAAAUCCUGCAAAUGAACCUGCACAAUAUUCUAUAUGAAGAAGCACUGUCCAAAAAACAACUUAUCUACACUGCUUUCCUGGAUAGGAACGAAAACUAGUCACUUUCGAUUUCGAAAACGUCUGUUGGAAAUAGGAAUUAUAGCUCUGAUGCAUUUAACUUUCUUUGUUUGACGGCAGUCUUCUAGUUCCGGAAAGCGACCCACACCAUCAAGUGAUAGUCUUCAUCUCAAAUAUGCCUAAUUGCAUGUAAUGUAACAACCGUCAAUGUGACCUAAAAACGAAAUAAGUUAGAAUAUACUAUUUCUGCGGCUUCCAAGAAGACCAUAAAUACAACAUUCGAUUUUUCACUGCAA